RNAcentral lists this long non-coding RNA (536 nucleotides) under Pan troglodytes (chimpanzee). Its description in RNAcentral is "long non-coding RNA NONPTRT016126". Lineage: Eukaryota; Metazoa; Chordata; Mammalia; Primates; Hominidae. The record is from RNAcentral.
GUCUUUCUGAAUGACUGUAUUUGUGCUCUGGCCAGCAGUUUUGGAGAGUGCUGGUUUUCUAGACCAGUGUUUCUCAACUGUGGGUGCAUAUCAGAAUCAUUGAGGGUACUUUUAAAAGCAGUGAUACCCAGGACCAGCUCCCAGAGAUUCUGGUUUCAUGGAUCUGGGGUGUGACCCAGGGUUUAUAGUUUUUAAAAGCUCUCCAAGAGAUUUUAUAUGCGGCCAGUUUGAUAGGUGAAAGUGGUAUUCCAUUUUUUUAAUUAUAAUUUUCUUCUGAAAUUGUUUCAGGCAUUCAGAUUUGGGAGAAGUAGCCCCAGAAAUAAAAGCAUCAGAGAGACGAACAGCUGUGGCCAUUGCAGAUUUGGAAUGGAGAGAAAUGGAAGGAGAUGAUUGCGAGUUCCGUUAUGGAGAUGGUACAAAUGAGGCUCAGGACAAUGAUUUUCCAACAGGUAAGCAUUUUCUCUGCCUUUUCUCUCUGUUCUAUGAAAGGGGGUUAUCAUCUAGGCCAGCAGUUCCCACACCUGACUGUAUCAAAU